This 935-nucleotide long non-coding RNA is filed under the name Homo sapiens (human). RNAcentral describes it as "non-protein coding lnc-DLX2-4:11". Lineage: Eukaryota; Metazoa; Chordata; Mammalia; Primates; Hominidae. The record is from RNAcentral.
GAGAGCUGGCCGGCGCCGACCCGGCCUGGGGCAGCGGCCGCAGCUCCCCGCCCGGGACCGCGCAAAAAGGCCCAAGGUCCCGGGCCGCACUCACCGAAGUCCAGGAACUGCUUCAUGGAGAGCGGGGACGGCGAGAAGCGCGCGUAGAAGUCCACCUGGCCCGGAACGCCGCGCUCGGACGCCGGGCUGGAGCCCGAGUCCGAGCUGAAGCUGCGGCUGAAGCCGGCGGCGCGCAGCCCCGGGCCCGGGCCGGCCAAGGCGGCUCCGCGAAGCAGCCGCGCCAGCCUCAUGCCGAGUCCCGCUAGAGAAGCCACAGCCAGUACGCCAGGUUUCCCCGCGCCUCUGCCGAGUGGGAAGAGAUUACUGCGUUCAGCACAGGGACAUCUACAAAGAAGGGAAGAAGAAACAGGGACAGACCAGUGAAGCAAUAGAAUAGUUACGUGGUUGUCAUUCUCCAGCUGGGAUUGAGAACAAGGGGAAGCUGGCCAUAGAGCCAGGUGACCAAAGAUGGAAGACAAAGGGUGGGCUGUGAUUCCCAGAGCUCCAAGCCUUGUUCUGUCUUGUCACACCAACUGUUACUGAUGAACAGGUUUACAAUCUUUGAGGCCUGGCUGACUCAUGGAACAACUAGGACAAGAAACAAAGACAAAGAACACACACCUGACUGGACAGAGAUAAACCAAGAGCUGAGAGUUUUGGAAACAAGGCUGGAGCUGAGGAAAAGGACUGGGAACACGAACCUGUACAAACAACAAAUUCUUACAACAGAAAACAAGCCACUCCUGGCCAUCAAGAAACCCACAAAUCUCAGAAGCAAAAGCAAAACAAAUGAAAAUACAAACCAAAUAGUCUCUAUUACCUUCAUGCCUGUUGGGUCCCAAUAAAGGAAUCAUUCCAAUAAAGGAUUCAACAUAUUUUUUUUAAACCAAUAUCAU